CUCAAAGGAAUUGACGGGGCCCGCACAAGCGGUGGAGCAUGUGGUUUAAUUCGAUGCAACGCGAAGAACCUUACCUGGCCUUGACAUAGUAGAGACUUUCCAGAGAUGGAUUGGUGCCUUCGGGAAUCUACAUACAGGUGCUGCAUGGCUGUCGUCAGCUCGUGUCGUGAGAUGUUGGGUUAAGUCCCGCAACGAGCGCAACCCUUUUCCUUACUUGCCAGCAUUUCGGAUGGGAACUUUAAGGAUACUGCCAGUGACAAACUGGAGGAAGGCGGGGACGACGUCAAGUCAUCAUGGCCCUUACGGCCAGGGCUACACACGUGCUACAAUGGUCGGUACAAAGGGUUGCUACACAGCGAUGUGAUGCUAAUCUCAAAAAGCCGAUCGUAGUCCGGAUCGCAGUCUGCAACUCGGCUGCGUGAAGUCGGAAUCGCUAGUAAUCGCGGAUCAGAAUGCCGCGGUGAAUACGUUCCCGCGCUUUGCACACACCGCCCG
Molecule: ribosomal RNA, 495 nt
Filed under: uncultured bacterium
Lineage: Bacteria
Description: bacterial SSU rRNA
Rfam family: Bacterial small subunit ribosomal RNA
Source: RNAcentral